CUUCAGCGAGCCCAGCCACAGCGGGCGGUCGGCGGUGCGGCUCUGUCCGUACGUGGCCAGCAGCGCCUGUGCCUC
Molecule: antisense RNA, 75 nt
Filed under: Micromonospora aurantiaca (nom. illeg.)
Lineage: Bacteria; Bacillati; Actinomycetota; Actinomycetes; Micromonosporales; Micromonosporaceae
Description: Micromonospora aurantiaca ASpks TB sRNA
Rfam family: ASpks TB sRNA
Source: RNAcentral